RNAcentral lists this ribosomal RNA (112 nucleotides) under Prolemur simus (greater bamboo lemur). The record is from RNAcentral. Lineage: Eukaryota; Metazoa; Chordata; Mammalia; Primates; Lemuridae.
GUCUAUGGCCAUACCACCCUGAAUGUGCCCGAUCUUAUCUGAUCUUGGAAGCUAAGCAGGGUCGAGCCUGGUUAGUAUUUGGAUGGGAGAUAGUACUCUGUUCUGUCUGGCU